RNAcentral lists this transfer RNA (224 nucleotides) under Thermoplasmatota archaeon. RNAcentral describes it as "Candidatus Thermoplasmatota archaeon tRNA-Lys". The stretch from base 153 to 221 matches the Rfam family "tRNA". The record is from RNAcentral. Lineage: Archaea; Methanobacteriati; Thermoplasmatota.
GGGUCCGUAGCUCAGCUAGGUAAGACGUUCAUUGCAAUUCGGCAUUAAAAUAAUAUUAAAAUAACUUUCAAUACCUACGUAAUAUGAAUGUGCUUCCGGUCCUUUCACUUGAAUUGGCCGUAGCAAUCGUAGUUUCGCCGAAAUUAGGGGCUGGGAACGUUUCUAGAAAGAGCAUCUGGCUUUUAACCAGAUGGCCGGGGGUUCGAAUCCCCUCGGACCCGCCA